GACGGAGGAUGCAAGUGUUAUCCGGAAUCACUGGGCGUAACGCGUCUGUAGGUGGUCAAAUAAGUCAACUGUUAAAUCUUGAGGCUCAACCUCAAAAUCGCAGUCGAAACUAUUCGACUAGAGUAUAGUAGGGGUAAAGGGAAUUUCCAGUGGAGCGGUGAAAUGCGUAGAGAUUGGAAAGAACACCGAUGGCGAAGGCACUUUACUGGGCUAUUACUAACACUGAGAGACGAAAGCUAGGGUAGCAAAUGGG
This 253-nucleotide ribosomal RNA is filed under the name uncultured bacterium. RNAcentral describes it as "partial 16S ribosomal RNA". It matches the Rfam family "Bacterial small subunit ribosomal RNA", at positions 524 to 776 of the family's 1533-position model. The record is from RNAcentral.